UCGGGAAUUUUGGGCAAUGGGCGAAAGCCUGACCCAGCAACGCCGCGUGAGGGAUGAAGUAUUUCGGUAUGUAAACCUCGAAAGAAUGGGAAGAAUAAAUGACGGUACCAUUUAUAAGCUCCGGCUAACUACGUGCCAGCAGCCGCGGUAAUACGUAGGGAGCAAGCGUUGUUCGGAUUUACUGGGCGUAAAGGGCGCGUAGGCGGCGCGGUAAGUCACUUGUGAAAUCUCUGAGCUUAACUCAGAACGGCCAAGUGAUACUGCUGUGCUAGAGUGCGGAAGAGGCAACCGGAAUUCUUGGUGUAGCGGUGAAAUGCGUAGAUAUCAAGAGGAACACCUGAGGCGAAGGCGGGUUGCUGGGCCGACACUGACGCUGAUGCGUGAAAGCCAGGGGAGCAAACG
Molecule: ribosomal RNA, 402 nt
Filed under: uncultured bacterium
Lineage: Bacteria
Description: bacterial SSU rRNA
Rfam family: Bacterial small subunit ribosomal RNA
Source: RNAcentral